ACUCACGUGUCCAGCAGAUCGAUUUCCCUUUGUGGACGUAGCCAUGUUGGAUGGUAGUUCUUGCUGAUUCUCCAUGCUACACUGUCUUUCCUUUGAUUUGAAGUCUGGAGGCAUCAGAGGAACCAGCUCAUUUCUACAUCUUCUUGGCCAUAAGCAUGCAUGCUUAAAAGCCUAGGGGACACUACAUGGGACAUGAUUUCAAGGGGUGUGAAUCUCCCUGGCA
Choloepus didactylus (southern two-toed sloth) is the source of this 223-nucleotide long non-coding RNA. RefSeq lists it as uncharacterized. The transcript has 3 exons. NCBI's taxonomy places the organism in Eukaryota, Metazoa, Chordata, Mammalia, Pilosa, Megalonychidae. The record is from RefSeq and is a predicted model, not a curated record.